Molecule: long non-coding RNA, 7741 nt
Organism: Motacilla alba alba
Lineage: Eukaryota; Metazoa; Chordata; Aves; Passeriformes; Motacillidae
Exons: 3
Source: RefSeq, a predicted model, not a curated record
UAAAACACAGGAGAAGCAAAUCAGAUAAUUUUUGUUUUCCUUUUUUCUCUGAGGUUUCUCAGUUUCUCAGGAGAAAAAUCCUGGGCAAAGGGAUUUUCCCAGAAAAUUGUGAAUGUGACAAAUCCCCAAGAAGGGGUGAUAGCUUUUUGCUGUAAUUUUGUGGAGAUGGAGUACAUGAUUCUGAACAGCACAGUGGUGGAACAGGACUGGUUACUGAGCUCCAUUCUAUUCAAACCAGCUCAGUUUGCCAAAAAGUCAUGCAGUGGCACUUGUCCAUGUACCCUGCUACUUUAAAGACCUGACUCAAGCACUGCACAGGAACCAGCAGGUCUGGGAGGGUUUCAGAAGAGCUGAUCUCUGUGUGCUGCCUCACAGGCUGCUCUCACCACACACUGCAAGUCCCUCUCAGCUGUUUGUGACACUGUUUGUGGCACAGUUUGUACAAAUGGCAUCUCACCCUGCUUGCUUCCAGUCCCAGUGGUCCUUUCCAAGAAGGAGCUCUGACAGUUUGCUGGGAUUGUGUUCAGGCUGCAGGGCCCCUGGAGCUGUUCUGAGUGCAUUUAACAGCUGGGGUCGGGACAGAAAAAUGAGGGACUCUGUGCUGUGUGCACUCAAUAGAGCAUAAUGGCUCUGCUGGGCUGGGCUGUCACUCCUCCAGGAGUUUUGGGGUAUGCCACAGCUGCACAGCACUGCUUUUGUCAUGACCUGAGGUCCUGCAGGAAGGACAGGCCUGCAGAGUGUCUGCUGGAACAAAGCCCAGGAGACCAACCCCAGCAGACAGCUCUGGAAACUGGGGCUCCACUGGAAACUCUGUGGGCAAGAGGUUUUAAAACCCACAGGGGAGUUCUGUGGCCAAAACCAGCUCAUGACACCGUGCUGGCUCUGGUCAUUUGCUGGUUCUGGCUGGUCCAUUCCUUGGUGGCUCCUGCGUCCACGUCUCUGCCCACAGGGACAGAGGUUUCUGUUGCCUCUAUAUGUACCUGCAGAGGCAAGGACCUGGGGGGACAGCCCUCCUGUUAGACCAGGUCUGAGCAAGCUGUCUGGGAUGUCUCUGUGAUAAUCUCUGGUUUAGGCUGACCUCAGACCCUCAACCCCUGCAGCCAAGGUGUGAGUUCACUGCUGAUGGAGAAGAUGUCACUGCCCUGCAUUUUGAUGUCAUGCUGGGCAGUAAAUGCAGGGCACUUGACAAACUGUGAAUAUUCUCAGCCAGUAAAGCUUGAUUUCAGUCAUGGAUUUUAAUGAUACUGUGCAAAAAACUCUAAAGCAAAUAGAUAUGAAAAUCUAUGUUUGAUCUUACAGAACCUCUCAAGUGCCUGAGAAAGUUUCAGGCCCAGUGGCUGAAGUUAAGCUAAAUUAAGCACUGUUGAAAUGCAGAGUAGGCAGGGAACAGCUUCCCUUUUGCAGUCCUGGCAAUGCAACUGCCCGUGCAAGGGGAAAUCCUUUUCAGUGUCAGAGAAAUCAUUGGCUUUGAAACCUCCAUCAUCUGUGUUAUCUCCUUUAAUCUAUCCAUCUAUCCUUUAGUACUGCAGUUUCAGUGUCACUGUACACCUUCCCAGUCCAGUACAUGUGUUAAAUUUUCAAUAUCAGUUUCUGAGUUCUGGUGGUUUUUGACUGCUUUCUUUUUUUAUUUUUAUUUUUAUUAAAUGAAGCUGGGGUUAGAUUUGUGUAUACUGCAAUGCAUUCAGAUAUAGAACACAAAUGACCUGCCUCUAAUCACAGUGCUGCUUUUGAUAAGAAAAUGUAGAGGUAACUAAUUCAUCCAGCUGAAGAGAUCUGAAGUCUGGUGCUCUUCAGAUUUGCAGGACUCAGUGCUGUGAGCAUCCAUCUAUGUGAAGACAGAGAGUAAUUACAGAAAAUUUUUCCACAUAAACAUACACUUUUUUAUGCCACUCCAACCUAUUUUCAGUUUAACUAUAUCAUUUUACUAUAUAAGCAGAACUUCUAAAAUUUAUUUUCAGAGCCUUGUAACUACCUGAUCCUAACAUACCUAAAAAUGUGUUUGCAACUUUCAGCUUAACACUGUGUGACUUCAAUCCUGGCAUUAAGCUCACCUGUCUCAGAGCUCAGCAUCUCCCUAGGUGAGUGCAAGCUGACAAGGUUUCAUCUUUUGUGAAGAACUCUUCUUUUUCCACACCAGCUAGAGAGUGAGAGGCAGGCUGCCCACAGAAGUUGUGAUCAGAAAUGGAUGUGUCAGCUGUUAUCACCAAACCUGCAUGGAUGUAAUCAUAGCUGCUUCUGUGGGCCAGAAGAAAUUGGGAUGUUUACAGCUUUUCAGUGCAGCAGGAAGGAAACAAUCACAAGUGAAAUACAAACACACAUUCACAUGUAAAAAUGCUUGGGAGAAGCACAGAAGUGUGCACAGGCAUGUGUGCUCACACUCAGAUAAAGAGGAUGCCGAAGGGAGCAAGCAGAAAAUGUGUUUGCAGGUGGAAAACGUGACCAAAGAGGUAGAACAUAUGGCAGCAGAGGACAAAGUGAGUGUCUGCAGAGCAGAAGUGAUGGCAGCAGCCUUUCUGUUCCAGGGCUGAGCACAAGGAUGUGAGGGUGAGUCAGCUCCAACACUUCUGGGUCUGGGCUGGGACAAACUGCACACACUCUGUGCGCUGGGCACUCUUAUUAUUGAGGCAGAGAAAGCCAGGAGGAAGGUGUUGUGUUGAUGGAGAAACACUCCACAGUAUUUGCAAAAUCUAAGAGGAACAAGCUACUCAGAAACACUGGUAUGUUCAGUCAAAUUGAUGCUGCAAGGAGGAUGAAAGGGUCUAAAUGGAGACAGAAAUUUUCUGAGGGGUAAUAUAGGUGUGGAGAUGGGGUUUGUGCCUCCCUGCCACUAUCCUUUCUGCCAGUUCACUUAUCCCCUUCUCUCUUUUUGUUCUUGAAAUUGUGUGACUCCUGUGCAUCCUCACGUGGUCUGAGCAAGUCCUAUCCCCUCAUGUGCACAAUAAGCUCCUGCACUACUUCUGACAAUGAGGGUAGUCUGAAUUGUUCAGUUUCAUUCCUGCUAGGGAUUUUUUUUUGUCUAUAUGCUUUCUGGGAAGUCAGUGCUCAAAGGAGCAACCUGUCUAUCUCUGGCUUACAUGCAGUUCCAGCUGAACAGCACUAGGCUUCCAACAGAAGGGUUGAAAGAACAAAGAAAAAGAUUAAUUUAAUUUACCUUGAGGGAUAGUUCAUUUUUCAAAUAGAGACAAUUUGAAAAACACAAGGCACUAUGCCAAUACCUUAGUCACUCUCAAAAACAAAAUUAAGUCUUUCUUGGUAGGAAAAUAAAUGUCAAUGCUGUGUACACUUGCAUCCAGCAGCAAUUCUGAAACUAAUUUUGUAGUAAUUGAUAAGCUGCUAUAUUGCUUCAUUAUGGGUGUUGAAGCUUUAAACAUUCCUGUCCAGGCCAGACUUGGCCUGACACCAAAGUGGUCAUUUGCCAUGUACCCUGCAGGCUGUACCCAGCAGGCUGAGCAGUAAUCAGAGCUGCCACAGAGCUUAAACAGUGAUGUUCACUGGUGGCUGAAUACGGUUCAGAACAUUAUGGGCCAAAAAUCCUAACUUACACAGUUAGGCUGCUUAAUGAAUCCCAAAACUGACCUGGACAAUAUGAAACCAUCCAUCAGAUUAGAAAAAGAAGUUGCCCUUCAAGCAAGAGACCAUUAAAUAGCUGAUAAAUGGGUGUCUCUAUGAGUAGGAUUUCAGGACACUAAAUUUAAACCAAUAUCUUCUUUUUUUUGAGUGAUGCCAAUAAGAUUCUUUAUUAUCUAUGAAAAUGAGUGUGAGUGACUUUCUCAGCCUUCUGAGAAAGGUGCAUAGUGGUUUAUUAAUCUGUUAGAAGGCUGUGUCUAGGUAGGCUUCAUUCAGGCAUCUUCAUUAACUUAUUUUUAAAUGCAGAACCCCCAUCAGCUGAGGUGUGCUGGGUUAUUUCCAUUGUUUGUUCUCCCAGCACACACCCACUGACCACUGCUGGUGCUGCACAGUGGGCUCUGUGUGCUCAGUGCCUGAUUGUGCACCUCACUCUGUGUCUGCAGUGCUGCUCUGCCCACUUAGGGCUCCUGAGAGGCAAUUCACCUGUUUAUUCCUGCUCCUUCUGCUGGGAAUUUCUACCAGGGACUAAUUUCUACCAGAGGUUCUCGUUAUUCUUUCUAGCUGGACAUCCCAGACUCCACUGCAGUAAAGCCUCCUGCUGAUGAACUCAUCCUUUCACGCCAACGAGGUGGCUUCAGAGUGACACUCCCACUGCAAUUACAGUGGCAGCCUGGGCACGUUUAGGGCUGGGAUGGAAACAGCCCUGAGCCUCUCUCUGCAGUCUUUGCUUGAGGAAGCCCAAAGUGAAGGACAGCAAGGUUUUGUCCUUGCAGGACACAGAAGGACACAUGUGCUCUGGGCUCUGCCAGGCGCCACUCAAAGUGCUCCCUCUUGGCUCCUGCUCUGAACCAACCCCUGGAGGAGGCUGCUUCCUCCCAUGGAAUUCAGGAUAGGCUUUAGGAACCUUCCUGGUCAUAUCUGAGUGCAGCAACAGGGACUUUGUAGCUAAAAAAUGACAUCCAUGAAGCCCUGCCUGCAACCUGGACCAGCAUAAGGGUGGCCCAUGGGGUUUUGUCGCAUUUGCAAAGUGCUGUUCACCAAUUCAUGCAAUUUCUCUCCUACAUAGCAGAUCCUCUUCAGCUUUCUGCAGCAAGCAGGUGUUUCUCCAUAUUUCCAGUCUGCAAACUUUAAGAAAUCCUAAAAUAAUUUGUCAUUUUAUAAAUAAGUUAUACAAGCUGUCAGCAGAAAUCUGUCACCACGCAGACAGAUGCAAACAUGCGCAGUGUGUGCUGGUACUGAGAUCAGAAUAAAGGCCAUCCAAAAGCAAUUACACUUCCAGGUAUUAGGCAAGCACAAUUAUUUAAAUUGCUAGUCAAAAACAGUUGAUAAAAUAGAUAAUUAAAAAAGAUUGACCUAAAGCUGAUUUUAAAUUAUUCUGUAACAUGCACAUAACUCAUAUAAUUGCUCUCUCAUGACCCAGCCUCCAUUAAAAAGAAAUUUCACCUAGGAAAAAAAUUACAUAUGCAGCGCACGGUGAUUAAAAUAAAUACUUAUUCUCCUGAAUGCUGGAAAUUAUGUGAGGAACUGCAUUAAAAAGUAGGAACAAAUUAGCCCUACAUUGAAGACUGUAGUGUGGUCUGUCAUUUUAAUAAAUCACACUCAGGUGUUACUGAAAUAGAACAUAUGACAAUGCAUUAGCCCACAGAAAUAGUAGAUGACCUAACACAUCUAGAUAUAUAAAAAUUAAGUUGGAAAAAGACAGAAUAAGAUCAUGAAAUCAUUUAGUUUGGAAAAAGGGCCUUAAGAUUAUGGAGUCAAACAACUAAGGCAGCACUGCCAGGUAGAUGCUGAGAUAAUGGGGGAAUUUUUCUUAUUCAGAGUAAAGGGGCUCCUAAAUGACAGGGGGGGUCCUGCCCUGCCAUGAGCACAGACCUCAGGGGGCAGCAGCUGCUGUGGAUGGAUUGCAUUCACACUGCACCAGGCAGAAAAGAGGCAAAGAAGAGCAAGAACUGUGGCACAGGCAGGUUAAAGGCCAGAUUUCCAAACAUAUUUAGUGCAUCUUGAUGAGGAAGAUGGAACCCUUGGAGGAGUCUCAGAUGCCCUUUGUGACCAGCUGGGGUCACACAAAGAUGAAAAGCAAGUGUGUAGGCCUGAGGCCAAAUUUGUGUCCUUAGUGCUGGGAGCAUGGUGGCCGUGUGGCCACCUGACUGAGCUGGACACAGCUGGGAUCAGCAGUAACUGCUGGAGAAGAAAAGCAGCUCUUUGAUUCACUUUGCAAUUAGCACCCCUCCCUGCCAGCACCCCUCCCUGCCUCGUGUGCCAUGGGAAUGGCUCACAAACACGGUUUGUUUGUGCAAUGCUCUCAUAAAAGAAGAAAAUCUUACCCUGCCUCUGUUGAAAGAUGAUGAUUCUGAGUUAGCUUUUAAUGUCUGGAUGCCCAGCUGGAGCAAAGAAACUGUUGAGACAGUGAAACCACAGCACUUUAUACUCUGUUCUGUUGCUUUUGGUCUUCUUCAUUUUGAUUGAUGCUUUUGGCACCUAUGGCCAAAUAUAAGCAUUAACAAGAAUACCAUCAAAUGAAAAAUAAGUGAAUUUUGACCUAUGUCUGCAAUUUGCUGAAACUGUUUGAAGACAUGACCAGAAGCAAAGGACAUUUCUUGAGGAGAAUCCUGUAAGACUUACAUUUUAAUAGCAUGUAGCUCUGCCAGUCUCAUUGCAGAAACAUGAGAGCUUUCAAUUUAAAAUGCUCUCCUGCACACGAAGUACUUCUCCAAACCUGUCACUUCUCAGGAGGCCCUUUCUCAGGCAGUCUGCAUUUUAAAUUGAGCAGUUAUGACAGUUUUCACUGCAAAAGGGGAAAAAUUAGUGAAAACAGAAUAUAUAGGAACUCGGUUACAGUAACAGCUAAACAGUAACCUGCUCCUGGGAAAUAACUGGCUUUGAUUUUUGCAGUGACCAUCUACAGGAAGAAAAGAAAGUCAUGGAGGACUAAAAAAGCUCACCAGCUUUGUGCCUAAAGUAAUGAGUUACAAAAUGGCACAAGCUGAGAUCAUUAAUCCUGAAUUUAUUGACAAGUUUGAAAGCCCCGGGUAGACAUUUGUUAGAGAUUCAGCUGACAGUGCAGCCUGCUCCUUUGUCUAUAGUAUUUUGAAGCCCUCUGCAGUUUUAGAUAUGUUUGUUUUCCUGUGAUGUCUCUGAGACAGGGUGAUGUGAAUCCCAGUUUUGGGGAUGGGAUAUUGAAGCUCUCAGGCAGGUAUGCUGAAAAAUUACUUGAAGCAAAUUUUCACCUGCUCACCUCCAUGCCCCUUCUUCCCCCUUUGCAGACAAGUGCACUUGCAGAGUAGACACAGCUAAUUUCAUGUUGCAGGUUUUUUACAUGAAUUCAAGGCUCAGUCUGUGGCUUACCGAGCACCACUAGAAUGGAAUGGUUAGGAAGGAGCUUUCUCACUAAUCUGCUUUUAGAGUCCAAUUUUCACUUCUGAGUCUUAUGAUAGGAGAUCAAAGUCCCUCAUUAGGGGACUGAAUCCAAUAUUUAAUACACUUAAUGUCACUUUAUAUACUCACAAGAUAGUCUGGUAUCCAUAUAAAACAACAUCCAAGCUCCUUGUGACACUUAAUGAAGGGACAGGAGUAUUUUUAAGCCCUCAUUUUCCAUGCUGUUACAUGGUGGUGGAGCAGGACUGACUUCAGUAGUUAGAUGUCAUACAAGCAGCCUGUCAAAAGCAGGAUCAGUCUCCUCUGCUUUCCAUGAGGGGAUACAGAAGUAUCCUUAUUAAUGCAUCUGUCUUUCAAAAACUGUGCUGUGAUACCCUGCACUAACAUCUUUGGAACAUCCUGGAUUGGGGAAUGUCAAAACUCAGGAUUUGAGUGCACACUGUUGCUCUGUAAAUUGUAUUGGAACUGAUUAACCUAUCAAUCUCUAUUAUUCAGCAGCUACUGGAAACAAGACACAGACUUCUCUGGAGAUUAACCUGGAGUGAGAUCAAAAGGAAACUCCCUUCUCCCCUUCCUGCAUAAAGAGUUACCAGAUUUGCAGCCUAAGAAACAGUAUAUAGGUCUAGUUACGAAGGAAAUAAAAUGCCCUAAUUAAUUUUCUGCUUCACUGAAAUGGAGCUUCAGUCAAAUAGGGAAGGCACACAUUGUGGAUGUCAGAGAGCUGUCCUAGGACCAAGCCUCCAGCACUAUUUGGGAGCAAAAGAGCUGGACUACAAAUCCAUCACCUGGCUGAAAUACC